CUCUCGUGCUCGUUGACGGUUUUAACGGUUUUUUGUUUUGUUUUGUUUUUCAAAUGGAUUUCUUCAGUCAGUUUGAAAUGAAAUGAAAACGUUACAACAGUUUAGUUAGCUCGGAGAGACAGUCGAGAGACAGUUAUUUUAGUGAGCUAUUCUGUUACCCAUACACAGGACAGGUGGAAAAAAUAUUUGAAUAUAAUAUAUCCUGCUUUAAAUUCCCUAACAGCUCAUUAGAGUUAAGCUAACACUAUAUAUACAUAUAUGGUUUAUGUGGUUUAUGUCUUGUUUUAAACUCUCUGAGGUAACACCAGUGAUUCACCUCUUCAUGGACUUCAUCCAUUGCUGUGAUCUUCUGUAGUCUACCAGAAUCUACCAUUAGCAUGUUCUUGUGAUUUAACAAGCAAACAGACACUCCUAAUGUUUUGGGUGAAUUUUUAUGUGACUUUUAGACACUGGUCUUGAGUCUCACCUGAUCCGUCAGGGAUGGACCUGACAAAGGUGGGCAGCAUCUUGACAGUGGCUGUGGCGUUGGUGUCACGGCUCAGCCCUUUCUCCAGCUCCAUACGGAAACGGGUCAUGAUGUCUCGCAGUGUCUCAUCAGAGAAGCGCAUGGAGUACAGGUCCACUGGGCUUCUGGUCUCUUGUCCACUCCCUCUGCAGCUGCUGCAGGAGCUCUGGUGUGAGCAGACCCUCCUGAACCAGACGAGCACUGAGUGAACUGUCCACACCCUUCAUGUCCUGUUUACCGU
Pangasianodon hypophthalmus (striped catfish) is the source of this 746-nucleotide long non-coding RNA. RefSeq lists it as uncharacterized. The transcript has 3 exons. NCBI's taxonomy places the organism in Eukaryota, Metazoa, Chordata, Actinopteri, Siluriformes, Pangasiidae. The record is from RefSeq and is a predicted model, not a curated record.